Molecule: ribosomal RNA, 623 nt
Filed under: Leuconostoc mesenteroides
Lineage: Bacteria; Bacillati; Bacillota; Bacilli; Lactobacillales; Lactobacillaceae
Description: bacterial SSU rRNA
Rfam family: Bacterial small subunit ribosomal RNA
Source: RNAcentral
ACGGGUGAGUAACACGUGGACAACCUGCCUCAAGGCUGGGGAUAACAUUUGGAAACAGAUGCUAAUACCGAAUAAAACUUAGUGUCGCAUGACAAAAAGUUAAAAGGCGCUUCGGCGUCACCUAGAGAUGGAUCCGCGGUGCAUUAGUUAGUUGGUGGGGUAAAGGCCUACCAAGACAAUGAUGCAUAGCCGAGUUGAGAGACUGAUCGGCCACAUUGGGACUGAGACACGGCCCAAACUCCUACGGGAGGCUGCAGUAGGGAAUCUUCCACAAUGGGCGAAAGCCUGAUGGAGCAACGCCGCGUGUGUGAUGAAGGCUUUCGGGUCGUAAAGCACUGUUGUAUGGGAAGAACAGCUAGAAUAGGAAAUGAUUUUAGUUUGACGGUACCAUACCAGAAAGGGACGGCUAAAUACGUGCCAGCAGCCGCGGUAAUACGUAUGUCCCGAGCGUUAUCCGGAUUUAUUGGGCGUAAAGCGAGCGCAGACGGUUUAUUAAGUCUGAUGUGAAAGCCCGGAGCUCAACUCCGGAAUGGCAUUGGAAACUGGUUAACUUGAGUGCAGUAGAGGUAAGUGGAACUCCAUGUGUAGCGGUGGAAUGCGUAGAUAUAUGGAAGAACACCAGU